GUUAAUUUUUGGACAAUCUAAAACUGUCUUUUAAUAGAUUUAGAUUUUUUGAGAUUCGAUUAAAACUUAUUGGUAUGAUUGAUGUUUUAUUCUUAAUUUUCUCACAUUCUGUUAUAUUUGAAUAUGUCUCCAAAGAUAUAUCCUUUCCCUGUGUGCUCUUUUAUGUUUGCUUCUGUUUUUCUUUUUACUCCUUCUUGCCAUCACCCUCCUUUCUCCUUUUCUUUUACUCUUCCUUUCCCCCAUUCUUCCUUCUUGUCAAUAUCAUUAUAUAAUAAUCUUUUUUAGGCUACCAUCUAUUUAUGCCAUUCUAUGGGCAAAAUUGUCAAUAAUAACUUCUACUCCUUUUACUUUUUCUCCCCCAGCAUCCUAUGUUAAGUAUAUUCUUUUACUACCAUUAAUACUGAUUAGUGAUUAGAAAGUCUGUUUAAAUUUUCUUGUUUUUUCUCCUCACCCUCUAGUUUUGAUAGUUAUAUUACAGCUGUGUAAUUAAAGCAAACCACCAUUACAUACCGUGAUAUAUUAUCUUCCUUAUAACCAUCAUGUAGCAUUGAUUUACAGAAUAAUAUAGAUUUAACAUUUAUAACUAUCUUAAUUUUGAUGUCUCUCCAGGCUUUUUUGUUGUGUAAAGUUUACUAUUAUUAUAUUUUCCAGGAAAUACUCAUAGGAGCAAUAAUUUCUGAAUCUUUAUAUAUUCACAAAAUUUGAGUGGUUUAUUUGCUUGCUAUUGAGUGGUUUUACUUCUGUAAAUAUUUUGAUUAUUAAUCUUUUAUCAGAUGUGUGGUUUGCAAAUAUUUUCUUCCACUCCGUAGGUUGUCUCUUCUGAGUCUUAAUAUGUAUUGCACAUGUUCCUAAACCAUUCCAAACUCGCACUCUAAGCAGAAUCAGAUUACACAGCAGAAUACAGAACUUUUCAUAGGUUCAGGCCACAAAUAGUAUUUCUAGUUACAAAAAGCCACUGCUUCUGUAUUGCAAAAGAAAAUAACAGAUUGGCUGCAUAGACUACCAGGUAUGUCUGCUUUACCUUGAUAAUUGAAACCCUGCUGUCAAGCAAAACUAUAUCCUUUGGUGUUACACUGGUUUGGGAUCUGGUCAAUUAAAAUUUGUGUGUUUAAUUCCCUUAACAUACACCUGCAAUAUCAUGAAGGCUACACAGGUGUAACUUCGGAAGUUUGAUUGAUAUUUGCAGGUCACCUCUCAAAGCUCAGUUAAAGCAUUUCAGGCCGGGCGCGGUGGCUCACGCCUGUAAUCCCAGCACUUUGGGAGGCCGAGGCGGGCAGAUCACGAGGUCAGGAGAUUGAGACCAUCCUGGCUAACACGGUGAAACCCCGUCUCUACUAAAAAUACAUAAAAAGUGAGCCGGGCGUGGUGGCGGGCGCCCGUAGUCCCAGCUACUCGGGAGGCUGAGGCAGGAGGAUGGCGUGAACUCCGGAGGCGGAGCUUGCAGUAAGCCGAGAUCACGCCACUGCACCUCAGCCUGGGCGAGAGAGCAAGACUCCAAAUCAAAAAAAAAAAAAAAAAAGCAUUUCAAAUUAGACAUUUUUUUGCACUCCCGACUGCCUCUUUCAGUCUGAAGAAGAACAACGUGCACAGGAGUUAGAAUGAUUUUUACAAAGGACGCCAGUAGUGUUGUGGAUUGGGGAGGAAAGUGAACAGUAGAGAAACAAAACCAAAAAAAUGAUUUGUUACCAUUUAAAAAUGCUGCUGGAUUUGCCAUCAGAGUUGCAGUGCAGCUUCAUAUACGCAAACACAAGCCUCUUUUAAGAAGAAUCUUUGUGUCUGAACAGAAAGUAUUUUGUCUUCGCAGGCAGGAAAACUAAUGCAGGGCUUACCCAGAGAUAUGUUUUUCACCAUGUGGCCAGGACAAUAAACAUGGGGCUUUUGAUCUGUGUGGCAAUAGUGGCUGAGCUGGAGUUCUAAAAAGAGAAAAAUGGGAAACAAAUCUGCCAGGGGUGAGUGUGUGCCCUUGGGGUACUUUUGCAUGUCUAAAGUUCACCAAGGAAAGCAAGAGAGAUUUCAAAUAAACAUGUCUAAAGGGGUCAUAAAGAACUUAACCAGUGUGAUUGCUUAAAUCUCAAUGUCAAAACACAGAAAUGCAUGGCCUACAUCACAUGAAACUUCUUUGGCCCCAGGUUUAUAAAUUAAACCUCUUUCAAACUCCUGUUUUUACAAACAUAAAUUUAUAAAUGCCUUUCCUCCUUACCACCAUCUUCAAACUAUGAAUAACAGCAAAAUUUUCUGUUACUGCAGGUGAAAUAGUUUUGUAACUAACAUGGGGGCAACAAGGAUACUCAUAAUGAAUCUUUUCUAAUUUUCACGAGGACACAAUUGUACACCAUUGUCAUAAUAUCGGUGUCCUUUUAACUUGUUCUUUAAAAGGUUAUCCAAGAAAUCAUUGCAAUCUAUUAUGUUACAUACUACCUUCAUUUUCAAAUCAAAAUGCCAAAGUGAAGCACAGUUUAUUUCAGCAAUGUUGAAAUAGAGUGCUGUUAUUAGAAAAUGUGAGUGGGUUGAAGUGGGACUCCCUGCGAAGUUAACUUGGCAGAGUUAGAGUUCCUGGCUCAACCUAAUAUUAAAAGUGAGUCAUCAGUUUACCCUCACAGCAGGGUCUUCACUUUGUACUUCUCAAUCUGAGCGACUCAACAGUGGGGCCAAAUAUUCAAGGUUAGUUUCUAUAAUUAGUAAUCAAGUGAAGAAAAUCCCUUGAGAUUUUAUUAUUCAUAAAUUCCUAAAUAUUACUGUCUAAUAAAUAAUAUGACAAAUAAGAAUCUACCUCAUAGAAACUUAGUUUGCACAUUCAGUACGACUUAUCUCUAGUAGAGGCCAAAGUUGUCUCUGUUCACAUGAAAGAGUUUUUACCCUUUAUGUCCAUUAAGAUAAAUUUGAAAUGCAACAGUUUCAUGCAUUUCUGCUCCUAUGUAAGCCAACAUUUUUGGAAGAAAAAAUUCAGUAAUUAUUGUGUGCUCAUAUAAAGAUACAUAUUAGAACUAUCAUGACUUUGUAAUACUUCUGGUUUUAAUAAAGAACAAAGAAAAAAUGUUUUAAAGAUUAUUUUCUUACUUUAAGAAUUUGAGUGCAAUUUACUUUACCUUUUAUUUAAUACACUAAAUGUAAGAGAUACAGCAUGGUAUUUAAUCCAAACUCAGUAAAUACUUAUUUUUCAAUAUAGCCUUAAAAUGUCUUGGUAAAACAACGUAUUUCCUACUCCUUACCAGAGCAUGCCUAUUCAAAAGUGAAAUAACAUGUAUUAUCUUAAAAAAUAUAUAACAUUGACAAUUUUUAAAAGGUUAGUAUAAGUUCCCUGGUAGCAUUUUAAAAAGAUCGUGCAUUUUAAGUUUUUGUUCACACAUUAUGUAUACCUAUAAUCUCCCAUAGCCAUACACAUGUAUAUUUGAAACAUACUUUCUUAGAAUAGCAGAGAAAACCCUUCAUAAGUUAGACCUCAUCUGAAUUUCCAGCAUGGCCCAAAUGAUUUGCAGUCAUGAACUCCAGCUACAGAAAUCUAAUCUGCAACAGGCUUUCUCAGGCUUUGCAUCUGUGCACACACUGGCUCACCUUCCAGGACUACCUUCAUCACUCUUCUACCUGGGACCCUGAUACGUAUCUUUAAAACCCUGUUCAAGUAUUAUCAUGACGCUUUUUGGAUCCAUUAACACAUAUUAUAAUAUUAAUUACAAUGUGUUUUAAUUAGUUGCUAAAACUUUUUUUUUUUUUUUUUUUUUUUUUUUGAGACGGAGUCUCCCCCUGUUGCCCAGGCUGGAGUGCAGUGGCGCGAUCUCGGCUCACUGCAAGCUCCGCCUCCCGGGUUCACGCCAUUCUCCUACCUCAACCUCCUGAGUAGCUGGGACUACAGGCGCCCGCCACCACGCCCGGCUAAUUUUUUGUAUUUUUAGUAGAGACGGGGUUUCACCGUGUUAGCCAGGAUGCUCUCGAUCUCCUGACCUCCUGAUCCGCCCGCCUCGGCCUCCCAAAGUGCUGGGAUUAUGCGUCCGGCGAGUUGCUAAAACUUCUGCCUCCAGCACACUACUUCUAGAAUAAAUGGCUUCAAUAUGUCCUUGUCUCUGUCCAUUCUAUUUCCUGCCCUUCACCAUUAAGAAACACUGAAUAUCCCAUAAGAGAUGUUCCAUGCUGGUACAUGGGGACAGUAAGCUUAUACAUCACUCAGUUUCCUGUGAGACAUCUCGCAGUGCUUCAUUUUGCACUCCACCUAUUCCUUGCUAUCUAACUGAACAUCUCAUAUGAUCCCCUACCAACUUUUUAAAUUCCCACCAUCAAAAAAAAAAAAUCCUAUUGGCCCUUUUAUGGAGACUGCGUUAAAUAUAUAAAUUUUAAGUGGAACCUGAUAUCUUUACUUGGUAACACUUGUCAAUCAGUAAGUUCUGUUUCCGUUCAUUCUAGUCUUCCUAGAAUUUCAUUAAAGUUUUGAAGUUUCUUCAUAUAGGGCCUAUGUAUUUCUUGUUAAAAUUAUUCCUAGUUAUUUUAUAUUUUUAUUUUCAUUUUGAAUUGUAUCUUGUUAGCUUUAUAUUUUUAGUCAAGUUUUGGCAGUUGAUGGUUGAAUGUUGAGUAUUUUAACUUAUAUGUAAUUUUUAUUAGUUCUGACAGAUUGUUAGCUUAUUUGAUUGCAUUAUCUAAGUAGACAACCCUAUACAUCACGAUGAUUUUGUGUACUCUUUUUCUAUAUGUAUGCCUCUUUUUGUCUGCUAUAUUGUAUUACUUAUAAAUUCUAAUACUAUUAAAAUUAGGUUUGAUAUUAAAUGGCCUAAACUUUUAAUAUGUUUUUAUUUGGAAUUUAUAUUUUCG
Molecule: long non-coding RNA, 4797 nt
Filed under: Homo sapiens (human)
Lineage: Eukaryota; Metazoa; Chordata; Mammalia; Primates; Hominidae
Description: HSALNT0339488
Source: RNAcentral